UACCAUCCAGUCAGCAGCAGUUCUGUCGUCAAGAACAAAUCAUUGAUGAAGAGCGCUAAUGAAAUGUGACAGCUUGUGUCACGAACACAAUGACUACAGUUAGCUACCUUACAUACAGUUGCCAAUAAUACUAAGAAGUUUAAAGUCCAUGAGACUGUAGCCAACCUCCCUCGACAUGACUACAGUAUGAAAUUAACCCCACAUUAAACAGAAGUAAGGAUGGUAGAAAAAGCGCUAAGGAAAACUUCCUAAGAGAUGCAAGCUGAACUCCAAGGUAAAGUGAAUUAAUCUACCAGUAUAUUUUUGGAGCGUGGGUGGAAACUGGAGGAAAGCUAUGAAAUAAGGGGAGAAUAUAAAACCUUCACACAUUUCGGGCCGUGAUGGGAAAUGAACCCAAGACCUCAGUGCUGUGAGUCAGUAGUGCUAACCAUUAUUUAUUAUAUUAAACAUUAUUAAAGGUU
Pseudophryne corroboree (corroboree frog) is the source of this 461-nucleotide long non-coding RNA. RefSeq lists it as uncharacterized. The record is from RefSeq and is a predicted model, not a curated record. NCBI's taxonomy places the organism in Eukaryota, Metazoa, Chordata, Amphibia, Anura, Myobatrachidae. The transcript is spliced from 3 exons.